CAUACGUUUCUUUCCAAGUGAGCAUCAAUAAUCUAAGCAUAUCUUUUAUUUGUUGCAAUGGUAGCCCAAUGCCAUGCAGAACUGAAUCCUCAGCAGUCAGAUCAGCAUUCCCGUGUAUCAACCAUGUCCCUUGGAUUCCAGCCAAGAAUGCGAGAGAAGAACUUCAGGAAAAGCGAGAAAACCUCAGCAUACACGAAACAAAAGGUUCCAAGACGCGAAAAUGCAGAGAAAUCGCAUUCGUCCAGCGAGAAAAACCUUGGGACAAGGAGAAAGUCUCGAUAUUUCUACCAAGACGCAAGAAUGGAAAUGGAGGUGAAAUCCUACCUGAAUCUCGCGAAGCCGCAUCAAUUUCCACAAAGAUCGACCAGAUUUCGAGCUUCGCUUCGGCGCCUGGUCGAUCCAUCAGCGCUCGUUGGGAGGGAAGUAUCCAGUCGCCAGCUUAAUCUCCGGUUGAGCCAAC
RNAcentral lists this long non-coding RNA (460 nucleotides) under Selaginella moellendorffii. RNAcentral's name for it is "long non-coding RNA (SMOE_LNC000184)". The record is from RNAcentral. Lineage: Eukaryota; Viridiplantae; Streptophyta; Lycopodiopsida; Selaginellales; Selaginellaceae.